Molecule: long non-coding RNA, 258 nt
Filed under: Mytilus galloprovincialis (Mediterranean mussel)
Lineage: Eukaryota; Metazoa; Mollusca; Bivalvia; Mytilida; Mytilidae
Source: RNAcentral
AUUUAAAUAAAAAGAAAAUUUCUUCAAACAUUUUUUUGAGAGGAUUAAUAUUCAACAGCAUAGUGAAUUGCUCAAAGGAAAAAAAAGUAUUUUAAGUUCAUUAGACCACAUUCAUUCUGUGUCAGAAACCUAUGCUGUGUCACUAUUUAAUCACAAUCCAAAUUUAGAGCUGAAUCCAGCUUGAAUGUUGUGUCCAUACUUGCCCCAACCGUUCAGGGUUCAACCUCUGCGGUCGUAUAAAGCUGCACCCUGCGGAGC